CCAAAAAAGUAGAGAAAUUUCCGCAAACCCGACACCAAAAUUCUGAUCAUGAUCAGCGUUCUGUCUUAGGUUCCCAUUCAAAUCAAGUCCAAAACGCUUAAUCUCUUUGCUUUCCUAGUUCUUCUUUCUUUUUGAAUUUUUGGUAUUUGAUGAAAAUGUAGGAGCGUUUGAUUGGUGCUGCACUAGGAUGUGCUUUAACGGGGAUUGUUGUAUUCGAGCAACGAAAACGCAUCCAUAAAUCCAUUUCAAAUCAUCAAUCUCGACUCGCUUCCCAAUCUCAGGUCCCCUUUUCCAUUUCCAGGGUUGAAUUUUCUUGGCUAAAGCGUCAAAAAGGUACUUCACUAAAAUUCAAUAAUCAUCCAAGCCCUUAUUGUUUUUUUCAAUCAUUUUAAUCCUUAAACAUUUAUUUUCAUCAAUUGAGCCCUUUCGUUCCAAUCCUUCAUUGACUGAAAAUAGACGUAUAAGGAUCAAUUGGAAAUGAAAAUAGAUGUUUAAGGGUUCAAUUGAUUUGAAAUAGAAGACUUACGGUUUAAUUGAUUGUAAUUAAAUGUUAGGGACUUAAAUGAUUAUUGAAUUUUUGUUUGAGGACUUUUUUUGACGCUUACGCCAAUUUUCUUUUAUAUUUGCUAUUUGAAACGCUAGAAAAAGUAAUGGAUUGAAGUUCUACAUACUUCUUAAGCUAAUGCAAAUGGUUUCUGUAGAACAACUAUGUCCUAGUUAAUGCGGGUGCAUAGUUUUCUGUUGAAACCCUAGUACUUUAGUUCAAGUGAUAAAAGAUGGGAAUUUGAUUUUGGGGGGGGGGGGGGAGGAGUGAAAAUGCAAAAGUCAAAUGUGUAAUGAGUAAUGUAGAUUUUUGGUUUUAUAUUUUGUUCUUGGAAGGAACAGUGGAGAAAUGGCUUUCUCCUCAUUCAAUUUGGGAAUUCUUAGCUUCUUUUUUGCUUUCUCCUUUAUCUUGUUCUUUCUAAGAAUUGAGGUUGAUCAGUAGAAAACUUUUGAGGAAUACAGAGUUUCUUUGAUUUAGGAGACUGGGACAUAUGUUUGCAUUCUUUAAAAUUUAAGUUAAAAUCUACCUCUUAGUAUCUGCCAAUGCUUCAAAAAUUAAUGAUUGAACUUGGUGAUUAGACUCCCUAGCUUUACCUAAGAAAUAAAGGAAAUUAAACUGUUUAGAUAUAAUUUAUUAACAGGUCUAAUCAUGUAAGUUUCUAGUGUCACAUCUAGGAUGUUAGUAACAAUCUUGUUAAUGGUUUAAUUAGAAGGGGAAUGUAAUUGUCAGAGAUAUUUGAUUGCUUCCUUAGUCUUUAAAUAUUUCUUAUACACUUUUUUUUUUUUUAUUGUGGAAACGGUCAAAUAUUUUUGGCAACAUUAUCACCCUAUUGAAGAAUCAUUUUCUUCUACUCUUGUAGAUAAUUUAUGCUACCUCUAAUGUUUAAGGCCAUAUGCCUUGUGACUUGGGACAAAUAUGAGACCAAUUCUUGUGGUUUUGCAGUAUAUCUCAAGUGGGAUUAUAGGGAAGAGGAAUAUAUUUAUUUGAAAGAAAUGGUUAACCCUGCCAAAACGAUGAACCUAUUGUUAUCUAGAAAUUGAUAUACAAGCAGAUUUGGCUUUCACAAGUAAAAUUAUGUUUUGUCAUUUGCAGUUUGUGGGGAUUAAAUUCUCAUAGUUUUACUUUUAACUUCUUCCAGAUGAAAGAUUCCAUAUUUGGUAAGAAGUCCCACUCUGAGUUUGCACUUCUAUGGCACAAAGAUGUGGACCAGAUAUUUGUGCCAGUAAUUGAGUCCAUUAGUUCACGUAGAUGGUAGAAGAUUUGGGGUAAUUUUACUAUCAACUCUUUUAAUGUGUCCAUUACUUUCAUAUUAUUGCAUACAAUGGCCUGCACUCAGUUGUAUCUCUCUAAAUUUUUUGAACCUAAAGGAGGCAUGCAUCUUGCAGCUAUGCUAUGUUCUAAUACAUAACAUAUAAUAAUGGUAAAUUCAGUUUUCUUGAUCUAUGGUUUUUAGAAGAUUUCCUGGUAUAUUUCAUUUCUUCUUCUUCUUCCUUAAGACUUUAAUGUGAUAAAGCACACAUAAGUACAAUUUUCACAAUUAUUUUUAAAUUCAUGGAUUUGUUAGAUUUUCAUUUAGGGUUAAAUUUGAAGUACCUUUGGGCAUUUGGGAAUUUGAAAUUCUAUCUUUUUUAUAUUUUUCAAAUAUACAGGCAUAUUGAAACUUAAUUAAUUUGUGCAUAGUUUGUGUAUUUCAUUCUCACAAUUUGUAUAGCAAAUCAAAUUCAAGUUCACUCAGUCACAUUCAUCUUUCCAAACAUACCAUAAAAAAAAUUCAUGAAAGUAUAUAUAUAUAUAUUUUUUUGUAAGAUACUCAAGUUAGUUUCUAAUCUUAUGUAUUUUGAAAUAUGAAUCUUUAUUAAGUUGUUAAGUGAUACUAUUUGCAAUUAUGCCCACAAUUAAUUUAUUAUUUAUGCAACAGAAUUAAUCCAAAUUCCCUCUCCUAAAUUCAUGUAUCUAAACCUAACAUUAGCGGUUUUGUUUGUAUCAAACAUCUAAUCCACACUGGAUUAUUUAGUGGCUUAGCUCUUAAAAUCAAAAUAUUAAAUGUGUCAUUAUUGAUACAAUAGAGUUAGAAAUGAAUGAAAAGUGGUUGUUACAACUACAUUUUUUUUUUAACUCAGUUUCUGUAGUUCUGUUCAAUGAAACUAAAAGUUUAGCUCUUUAUCAAUGGAUUACAUGAUUGUGGUAGCUACAACUGCUAUCCAAUUUAUGAUUUUGGAUGCUUUUUAUGAUUUUAUCCAAUUUAUAUCUCAUUUCGCUAAAGCAUCCAAUGAUUAUGGGCAUAUCUCAAUGAUCUUUCUUGACUUUCAGCACCUACAGUUUUGUGUCUGCCAUUGCCUUGAAUGAUUGCGAUUGAUAACAUAAUCUCAGACAGAGACUAAAUGUGUGAAACACUUUCAUGCAAUUAUAUAACAAACUGAAUCAUAAAACAAUUACACUCCAUGACAGGUACAUUGGGAGGAAAAACCAGCGAGAGAAGAGAAAUAAAGACAGCUUAAUUCUAACUGCUAUCAAGCCUUAGCCAAUAUUAUACAUGGAGAAUUGGAGAUUGGAGAGCACGUGAUCAGGCAUCAGGUUGAACACAGUUUGCUCAAUAAGCAUUGGCUUGACGGGUUAAACACCCAUUAC
Molecule: long non-coding RNA, 3172 nt
Filed under: Durio zibethinus
Lineage: Eukaryota; Viridiplantae; Streptophyta; Magnoliopsida; Malvales; Malvaceae
Description: long non-coding RNA (DZIB_LNC000384)
Source: RNAcentral